Molecule: ribosomal RNA, 225 nt
Filed under: uncultured Flavobacterium sp.
Lineage: Bacteria; Pseudomonadati; Bacteroidota; Flavobacteriia; Flavobacteriales; Flavobacteriaceae
Description: partial 16S ribosomal RNA
Rfam family: Bacterial small subunit ribosomal RNA
Source: RNAcentral
CGUGUAGGCGGUAUCAUAAGUCAGUGGUGAAAUCCCAUCGCUCAACGAUGGAACUGCCAUUGAUACUGUAGGACUUGAAUGCUUAGGAAGUAACUAGAAUAUGUAGUGUAGCGGUGAAAUGCUUAGAUAUUACAUGGAAUACCAAUUGCGAAGGCAGGUUACUACUAAGUGAUUGACGCUGAUGGACGAAAGCGUGGGGAGCGAACAGGAUUAGAUACCCGCGUA